Molecule: ribosomal RNA, 492 nt
Filed under: uncultured bacterium
Lineage: Bacteria
Description: partial 16S ribosomal RNA
Rfam family: Bacterial small subunit ribosomal RNA
Source: RNAcentral
AGUGAACGCUGGCGGUAGGCCUAACACAUGCAAGUCGAACGGCAGCACAGUAAGAGCUUGCUCUUACGGGUGGCGAGUGGCGGACGGGUGAGGAAUACAUCGGAAUCUACUUUUUCGUGGGGGAUAACGUAGGGAAACUUACGCUAAUACCGCAUACGACCUACGGGUGAAAGCAGGGGAUCUUCGGACCUUGCGCGAUUGAAUGAGCCGAUGUCGGAUUAGAUAGUUGGCGGGGUAAAGGCCCACCAAGGCGACGAUCCGUAGUUGGUCUGAGAGGAUGAUCAGCCACACUGGAACUGGGACACGGUCCAGACUCCUACGGGAGGCAGCAGUGGGGAAUAUUGGACAAUGGGCGCAAGCCUGAUCCAGCCAUACCGCGUGGGUGAAGAAGGCCUUCGGGUUGUAAAGCCCUUUUGUUGGGAAAGAAAAGCAGCAGGUUAAUACCCCGCUGUUCUGACGGUACCCAAAGAAUAAGCACCGGCUAACUUCGUG